Long non-coding RNA from Neltuma alba, 272 nucleotides. RefSeq lists it as uncharacterized. The transcript is spliced from 2 exons. Lineage: Eukaryota; Viridiplantae; Streptophyta; Magnoliopsida; Fabales; Fabaceae. The record is from RefSeq and is a predicted model, not a curated record.
GUGCUGAAAUCUUCAAAACCAAUGGCAGAUGCUUUUUGCAUUUGGGGAGUUGAUAAGGGAUGAAAGACCAAAAAAGAAGGAGGAAGUUUCGGUAGAUAGUUUCAAUAGAGAAAUGUGGAUACAUCAUACAUACUGUUACUUCAUUUAAGAUAGGUUUAAUAUUUUUUAUUUUGUUGAUGAGUAGCCACUGUUAUGAACUAUUAAUGAUAGUUAUAUAUGACUGAAAUGACAUUGGGAUUUAUGAUUGUUUAAUGUUUUAGUUUGAGUUGUCA